This 147-nucleotide non-coding RNA is filed under the name Pan troglodytes (chimpanzee). The record is from Rfam by way of RNAcentral. Lineage: Eukaryota; Metazoa; Chordata; Mammalia; Primates; Hominidae.
GUUGGGCAUGGUGGUGCAAGCCUGUAAUCCCAGCUACUGGGAGGCUGAGGCAGGAGAAUCACUUGAACCCAGGAGGCGGAGGUUGCAGUGAGCCAAGAUCGUGCCACUGCAUCCCAGCCUGGGUGACAGAGUGAGACUUGGUCUCAA